Molecule: ribosomal RNA, 444 nt
Filed under: uncultured bacterium
Lineage: Bacteria
Description: partial 16S ribosomal RNA
Rfam family: Bacterial small subunit ribosomal RNA
Source: RNAcentral
CCUACGGGAGGCAGCAGUGGGGAAUAUUGGGCAAUGGAGGAAACUCUGACCCAGCAAUGCCGCGUGAAUGAAGAAGGUCUUCGGAUUGUAAAGUUCUUUAGUCAGGGAAGAAUAAAAUGACGGUACCUGAAGAAUAAGCUCCGGCUAACUACGUGCCAGCAGCCGCGGUAAUACGUAGGGAGCAAGCGUUGUUCGGAAUGACUGGGCGUAAAGGGGGCGUAGGCGGUGUUACAAGUUAGAGGUGAAAUACCCAGGGCUUAACUCGGGUGCUGCUUUGAAAACUGGAAGACUUGAGUGCAGUAGAGGUAAGCGGAAGUCCGAGUGAAGCGGUGGAAGGCGUAGAUAUAAGGAGGAACACCAGAGGCGAAGGCGGCUACCUGGGCUGCAACUGACGCUGAGGCACGAAAGUGUGGGGAGCAAACAGGAUUAGAUACCCUAGUAGUC